RNAcentral lists this ribosomal RNA (466 nucleotides) under uncultured bacterium. Its description in RNAcentral is "partial 16S ribosomal RNA". It matches the Rfam family "Bacterial small subunit ribosomal RNA", at positions 28 to 507 of the family's 1533-position model. The record is from RNAcentral.
GAUGAACGCUGGCGGCGUGCUUAACACAUGCAAGUCGAACGGAAAGGCCCAAGCUUGCUUGGGUACUCGAGUGGCGAACGGGUGAGUAACACGUGGGUGAUCUGCCCUGCACUUCGGGAUAAGCCUGGGAAACUGGGUCUAAUACCGGAUAGGACCACAUUUUGGAUGGUGUGGUGGAAAGUUUUUCGGUGUGGGAUGAGCUCGCGGCCUAUCAGCUUGUUGGUGGGGUAAUGGCCUACCAAGGCGUCGACGGGUAGCCGGCCUGAGAGGGUGUACGGCCACAUUGGGACUGAGAUACGGCCCAGACUCCUACGAGAGGCAGCAGUGGGGAAUAUUGCACAAUGGGCGCAAGCCUGAUGCAGCGACGCCGCGUGGGGGAUGACGGCCUUCGGGUUGUAAACUCCUUUCGCUAGGGACGAAGCGUUAUGUGACGGUACCUGGAGAAGAAGCACCGGCUAACUACGUG